This 982-nucleotide long non-coding RNA is filed under the name Struthio camelus australis. RNAcentral describes it as "lncRNA (ENSSCUG00000016006.1)". Lineage: Eukaryota; Metazoa; Chordata; Aves; Struthioniformes; Struthionidae. The record is from RNAcentral.
UACAGCACGUAUAGGUCACACUGGAAUGAAAGCUGACGAGAUAUUAGAAAAUGUCAUAGCUGCAGCUGAGGUGAUUGCCAAGAAGUUACCAAAGAACUGGAAGAAUGUAAAAAUUCUUCACCUCAAAACAGCCGAUUUAUACCGCACAAAUCUCCAACUUGGAUGAGCUUGACAAAGAGCCAUCUGUCCACAAACAGGAAGAACAGAAGGAAAAGAAAAGAAGGGAAAAGAAACCGAAGAAAGCAGGUAAAAAACUGUCUUCAAGUGAAGUUGCUGUGACAACUGAAAUGAAUGCUACUGCUGCUAACCAGGAGCUAGAGAUGAAAGAAAAAGCAGAAGUAGUCCAAGAACCGGAUGAUGAUGACGAUGGAGAAAUUCCGCAACUAGUGCCUAUUCAGAAAACAACUGGCCUAGCUGAGCUGAAGAAAAUGGAACCAAAUCAGAGUCCAGAAAAAGGUGACAAGCUGGGCAAGACAACUAAAACACGCCUUGGUAAGAGAAAAAAAAAUCUACCUCGGGAGACUCCAAAAACGAAACAUAAAGUUACUGAAGAGCGAGCAGACUUGCAGAUAUCACCAAAACAAAAAAAAGUCAAGCAGUUCAGCAUGCCAAAGGAGGCAAUAAAGGAAAAAGAGCUGAAAAAGACUCCCCAGAAGCCUGAAGCAAAGUCUUUUGCAGCACCUAAAGCUGGCAAACUAGUACAGUCAGCCAAGAAAUCUUCCAAAACACCACAAUAAACACCCAAGAAAAAAUGCACAGCCCACACUCAGCCUGAAUGUUGUCUACUGCAACAUUUUAUAUAGUCAGUCAAUGUUGUCUUUUUUUUUUUUAGGAAGCAAAUACAUUCAUGAAAUAAUGUACAUUCUUAAGAAAAUCUGAUCUAGGAGCUUUUUCACUGAGACCUGUAAUGAUUCAUUUGUUUCCUUCUAAUGGAGGAGUUGGAACAAAUAAACACACUAACGUGGUUGGUUGUAUUUCUUAA